Molecule: ribosomal RNA, 493 nt
Filed under: uncultured bacterium
Lineage: Bacteria
Description: partial 16S ribosomal RNA
Rfam family: Bacterial small subunit ribosomal RNA
Source: RNAcentral
GACGAACGCUGGCGGCGUGCUUAACACAUGCAAGUCGAACGGUGAAGCGCCUUCCUUUUUGGUGGGUGUGGAUGAGUGGCGAACGGGUGAGUAACACGUGAGUAACCUGCCCCCUUCUUCUGGAUAACCGCAUGAAAGUGUGGCUAAUACGGGAUAUUCUGGGUCUGUCGCAUGAUGGGUCUGGGAAAGAUAUUGUUUCGGUGGGGGAUGGGCUCGCGGCCUAUCAGCUUGUUGGUGGGGUGAUGGCCUACCAAGGCGGUGACGGGUAGCCGGCCUGAGAGGGUGGCCGGUCACACUGGGACUGAGACACGACCCAGACUCCUACGGGAGGCAGCAGUGGGGAAUAUUGCACAAUGGGCGCAAGACUGAUGCAGCGACGCCGCGUGAGGGAUGGAGGCCUUCGGGUUGUGAACCUCUUUCGCCAGUGAAGCAGGCCUGCCUCGUUUGUGGGUGGGUUGACGGUAGCUGGAUAAGAAGCGCCGGCUAACUACGU